CGGGUCAGCAUACUGCCGUGAAUACGUUCCCGGGCCUUGUACACACCGCCCGUCACACCAUGAGAGUUGGGAAUACCCGAAGCCUGUGAGCUAACAAUAAGAGGCAGCAGUCGAAGGUAGAAUCAAUGAUUGGGGUGAAGUCGUAACAAGGUAGC
This 155-nucleotide ribosomal RNA is filed under the name uncultured bacterium. RNAcentral describes it as "partial 16S ribosomal RNA". It matches the Rfam family "Bacterial small subunit ribosomal RNA", at positions 1345 to 1500 of the family's 1533-position model. The record is from RNAcentral.